Xenia sp. Carnegie-2017 is the source of this 1146-nucleotide long non-coding RNA. RefSeq lists it as uncharacterized. The record is from RefSeq and is a predicted model, not a curated record. The transcript has 2 exons. Lineage: Eukaryota; Metazoa; Cnidaria; Anthozoa; Malacalcyonacea; Xeniidae.
UGAAAUAAUAAAAAUUAAUAUAGCAAAUUUCCUUUUAGAUUUAUUGUUCACUUCCGUUGUCAUUGAUUACAUCCGCUUUGAGCCCGCUGUACUCACAAGGGUCAAAACCAUUAAAACCACUGGUUAAAACUAAUUGAAAGAAGGACGUCUAUCAAGGAACAUCAAUAUCUUUUGGACAUCAAACAAGCUCGACAUCUUUUUCGAGAAGAGAAGGGGAGAGAAAAAACUUUUCAUAACAAGUCAAAGAAUGAAACUGCCAUUGAUCUUAAUUUCAUUAUUUUUUCAGUUGAUUUCUGUAAAAGCACAAUUCAAUGAGAAAACAAAUGAUGAUAUCUAUGAAACAUGCCAUAGAAAUCAGGAUGGAACGUACAAGGUUGCUCUUCGAUUUUGCAACGGAGGAUAUUGGCGCACAACUGGUCAAGAGAAAACUCGUCAUGGUCAACGGAAAACUCGUCAUGGUCAUCUGAAAACUCAUCAUGGUCAUCAAAAAACUUUACAUGGUUACAACAAAACUGAUUAUUAUCAUAAAAAUGGUAUUUUUACAAAAGUGUUUCCCAUGAUGAGUCAUCUAACGUUAAAUUUUUUUAAGUCAGUGUGAGAAUUUUUGAGUGAGAAUUUUGAUACCUGGAGAAGCACUUUUCAAUUAGCUUUCACACGAAAAUUACCAAGUUGAAAAGCAAUCGGAACACGUAUAGGGUUAAAAUAUGACACAUGCUGUCCAAGCUAACAAUGUUUUUCGAAAUUUGGCCAGACUGUACGAACGAUAAGCAUCCAUUGUAUUUUUCUUUUAAUUGCAAUAUUUUAUAACCUUCCUCAAUUAUUCAUAUUUGGAUGAAUUUAAGCCAACAUCUAUGCAUAAUUGAUGAGGAUUGUAACUAAAUUCCAAUACAACAAUAAAAAACCUAAAUUUACCCGCGAUAUGAAAGCUGAGGGUUUUCGUAAGCAUUCGCUAAUUUUUCUAAAAGAUUGUUAGCUUGAAGAAUAUAUUGAAAUUAUAUUCUUUAGAAAUUGAAAACCAAUAGAGGUUUUAUGAAAGUACUUUGAAUUUAAAAUUUAGGAGCUAUAAUUUAUUUUGACAAACGCUAGACCCGCUCCUGUAAUUCAAGUCUCGAACUAGCGAUUUCUAUCAAAAAUUUUGACAAAUCA